Benincasa hispida (wax gourd) is the source of this 994-nucleotide long non-coding RNA. RefSeq lists it as uncharacterized. The record is from RefSeq and is a predicted model, not a curated record. Lineage: Eukaryota; Viridiplantae; Streptophyta; Magnoliopsida; Cucurbitales; Cucurbitaceae.
AUCCCCUUGCCCCACCAAUUCCUUUUUUCUUCGCAUCCACAAAUUUCUUCAGCCGUAAUUCACUCAAUUUCGCAAACUCGUAGGAGCCCAAAUCGGUCUUCAGGUCACCAACUCGUUGGAGCUUACAAGCGGUGCAGUCGUACGCGUAGGCGAUUGUCCGCUUUCGGAGGUGAUUGAACUCGUACAACCGUCUGUACAUUUUCGCUCCGGCAAAUUCUCCGAUCUUCAGGAAGUUUAUCCAGCGCGAUUUUCCUUGUGGCUGGGACUACUAUAAGCAUCUCAUCCUUUAAUGUUCUUUCCAUUUUCCGUCUUGUUUAUGUCUCUUCAUAUUUCAUUAGAAUUGAUAAUCGUAUUUUGACAUAAAGCUAAAUGAAAAGAUAUGUUGUUGUCUAUCGAGCAUUUAAAUUUAAAUUAAAUUUCAUUAGUCCUAUCCUGUACAUUUCUAUCGAGCAUUUUUUGAAAUUGUAAAAAGACAUGUUGUUGUCUACAUAUUGGUGCUGGGAUCCUCGCCAUUCCUGCAGUAACUCAAUAAUCCGGAUUUCUAGCCUCAGCUAUUACGUGCACAUUUUGUUGGGCCUACAUGGUAAGGUUGUGACGAGACUGCUAAUUGCUGAAGUGAACGUGAAUACCAUGUGUGAACUGGUUUUUGGUGGCGUGUCUCCGGUAAACUCUUUUUUGUUUCUAAAAUUCUAGGGUGAAAUGAAAAUGUGAGUUUUUGCAAGGAUAAAUACAUAUUCCGUAUGCUUGUUGUUCAAUUUGAGCAUUGUGAAAAAAACAUAUAUAUCAUAAUUAAAUCAUCUAUGGUUCCUCAUCUAUAUAAAUUGUUAGGUGGAUUGCAAUUACAGAGGAAAUUAGUUAUAAUGUUGAAGAAAAAAGGUGGGGCAAAAAUGAAAGGGAAGAAAAUGAAAAUACCAGCAAGUUUAGGGACUGAACUCCAACAUCCAACACCAAAUCUAGUAAUGUAAUUGAAGAGUUUUACAUCUUCCUCAGGUCA